UCGAGAAUUUUUCACAAUGGGGGAAACCCUGAUGGAGCGACGCCGCGUGGAGGAUGAAGGCCUUCGGGUCGUAAACUCCUGUCAUGCGGGAACAAGAAAGUGAUAGUACCGCAAGAGGAAGAGACGGCUAACUCUGUGCCAGCAGCCGCGGUAAUACAGAGGUCUCAAGCGUUAUUCGGAUUCAUUGGGCGUAAAGGGUGCGUAGGUGGCGAUGUAAGUCUGACGUGAAAUUUUGGGGCUUAACCCCAACAAGCGUUGGAUACUGCGUUGCUUGAGGAUUGUAGAGGAGAGUGGAAUUCACGGUGUAGCAGUGAAAUGCGUAGAUAUCGUGAGGAAGACCAGUUGCGAAGGCGACUCUCUGGGCAACUCCUGACACUGAGGCACGAAGGCCAGGGGAGCAAACGG
This 405-nucleotide ribosomal RNA is filed under the name uncultured bacterium. Its description in RNAcentral is "bacterial SSU rRNA". It matches the Rfam family "Bacterial small subunit ribosomal RNA", at positions 355 to 775 of the family's 1533-position model. The record is from RNAcentral.